Molecule: unclassified non-coding RNA, 1960 nt
Filed under: Chiromantis rufescens (African foam-nest treefrog)
Lineage: Eukaryota; Metazoa; Chordata; Amphibia; Anura; Rhacophoridae
Description: partial contains 12S ribosomal RNA, tRNA-Val, and 16S ribosomal RNA
Rfam family: Bacterial large subunit ribosomal RNA
Source: RNAcentral
AGAUACCCCANUAUGCCUAGCCACAAAAAAUUUACUUACACCAAUAACCGCCAGGGAACUACGAGCUUUAGCUUAAAACCCAAAGGACUUGACGGUGUCCCACCCAANUAGAGGAGCCUGUCCUAUAAUCGAUACUCCACGUUACACCUAGCCACUUUUUGCUUAUCAGCCUGUACACCUCCGUCGUAAGCUUACCAUAUGAACGUAUAACAGUAAGCCUAAGGGCUCAANGCCACAAUGGCAGGUCAAGGUGCAGCUCACAAAGUGGAAGAGAUGAGCUACAAUUUCUAACAUAGAACAUACGAAAUAUUAUAUGAAACAUAAUCAUGAAGGUGGAUUUAGUAGUAAGUGAGGAAUAGAGAGCCUCACUUAACUCGGCCCUGGGACGUGUACAAACCGCCCGUCGCCCUCUUCGACAGCCCCUUUAUAGGUUUAUAACACGAAUUUAAGCGCCUUANNNNNNNNNNNNNNNNNNNNNNNNNNNNNNNUGGAAAGUGUUCUUGGAACAACAAAAUGUUGCUUAAACAAAGCACCCCGCUUACACCGGAGAAAUUUCUGUGUAACCCAGAUCAUUUUGAGCCUAAUUUCUAGCCUANNCACCCCCCCAUAAAAACUCCUAACAAAUGAAAUUAAACAAAACAUUUUUACCUUUUAGUAGAGGUGAUCGAAAAAACACUUAGAGCUUCAGAAAAAGUACCGCAAGGGAAAGAUGAAAUAAAAAUGAAAAAUUUAAAGCCCAAAAUAAUAGAGAUUAUAACUCGUACCUUUUGCAUCAUGGUUUAACUAGUCUAACCAAGCAAAAUGAAAUUUAAGUUUGCACACCCGAAACUAAGCGAGCUACCUAAAAACAGCUCAAAGAGCUAACCCGUCUCUGUAGCAAUAGAGUGGGAAGAUUUUUAAGUAGAGGUGACAAGCCUACCGAGCUUAGAGAUAGCUGGUUAUUCAAGAAAAGAAUUUUAGUUCUCCCUUAAAUAUAAGCAUGUUGAUAAACAACACCCAAAGAUUUAAGAGUUAUUCAAUUAAGGCACAGCUUAUUUGAAAAAGGAUACAACCUACAAAACCGGGUAAAAUACUACAAACAUAACAAGUAGGCCUGAAAGCAGCCACCUUUAUGAAAGCGUUAAAGCUUAUUAUAAUAUCUCAACUAAUUCCAUUAUAUAUUAUGAACCCCAAUCAACUAUUGAAUGACCCCAUAAUUAUAUGGACACCACUAUGUUAAAACUAGUAACACGAAUUUAAAAUUCUCCAAAAUGUAAAUAUAAACCAAAAUGGAUAAACCAUUGGUGAUUAACGAAUAUAAAUUACUUACAGUAAAAUCACAAGNAAANUCNGUAUAAANUUAUAGUUAACCUCACAAUAGAACAUUAAUGGAAAGAUUAAAAGAGAAAGAAGGAACUCGGCAAAUUCUGACCCCGCCUGUUUACCAAAAACAUCGCCUCUUGCUUCACAUAAGAGGUCCAGCCUGCCCAGUGAAAUUUUAACGGCCGCGGUACCCUGACCGUGCGAAGGUAGCAUAAUCACUCGUUCUCUAAAUAAGGACUUGUAUCAAUGGCAUCACGAGAGUCACACUGUCUCCUCUCUCCAAUCAGUGAACCUAAUCUCCCCGUGAAGAAGCGGGGUUACACCCAUAAGACGAGAAGACCCCAUGGAGCUUUAAACCUUAAAGCAAUUUAAAUAAAAUAUUUCCACAUAUACUUUAUUUAUGCAUGAAAGUUUUGGGUUGGGGUGACCGCGGAGCAAAAACUAACCUCCACAACGAAAAGAACUAAAUCUUUAUCUAAGAACUACUAUUCCAAGAAUCAACACACUGACGAAUACUGAUCCGAUAAUCGAUCAAUGAACCAAGUUACCCUGGGGAUAACAGCGCAAUCUACUUCGAGAGCUCAUAUCGACAAGUAGGCUUACGACCUCGAUGUUGGAUCAGGGUAUCCCAGUGGUGCAGCCGCUACUAAUGGUUCGU